This 87-nucleotide transfer RNA is filed under the name Burkholderiales bacterium. RNAcentral describes it as "tRNA-Leu". It matches the Rfam family "tRNA". From Rfam's summary of the family: Transfer RNA (tRNA) molecules are approximately 80 nucleotides in length. Their secondary structure includes four short double-helical elements and three loops (D, anti-codon, and T loops). Lineage: Bacteria; Pseudomonadati; Pseudomonadota; Betaproteobacteria; Burkholderiales. The record is from RNAcentral.
GCCGAAGUGGUGGAAUUGGUAGACGCGUCGGACUCAAAAUCCGGUUCUGGCAACAGAGUGAGGGUUCAAGUCCCUCCUUCGGCACCA